AACGAACGCUGGCGGCAUGCCUAACACAUGCAAGUCGAACGAGACCUUCGGGUCUAGUGGCGCACGGGUGCGUAACGCGUGGGAACCUGCCCUUAGGUUCGGAAUAACUCCCCGAAAGGGGUGCUAAUACCGGAUAAUGUCUUCGGACUAAAGAUUUAUCGCCUUUGGAUGGGCCCGCGUUGGAUUAGCUAGUUGGUAGGGUAAAAGCCUACCAAGGCGACGAUCCAUAGCUGGUCUGAGAGGAUGAUCAGCCACUCUGGGACUGAGACACGGCCCAGACUCCUACGGGAGGCAGCAGUGGGGAAUAUUGGACAAUGGGCGAAAGCCUGAUCCAGCAAUGCCGCGUGAGUGAUGAAGGCCUUAGGGUUGUAAAGCUCUUUUACCCGGGAUGAUAAUGACAGUACCGGGAGAAUAAGCUCCGGCUAACUCCGUG
This 433-nucleotide ribosomal RNA is filed under the name uncultured bacterium. RNAcentral's name for it is "partial 16S ribosomal RNA". It matches the Rfam family "Bacterial small subunit ribosomal RNA", at positions 29 to 507 of the family's 1533-position model. The record is from RNAcentral.